RNAcentral lists this long non-coding RNA (334 nucleotides) under Salmo salar (Atlantic salmon). RNAcentral's name for it is "lncRNA (ENSSSAG00000097695.1)". The record is from RNAcentral. Lineage: Eukaryota; Metazoa; Chordata; Actinopteri; Salmoniformes; Salmonidae.
AUGUAGAAUCAUUAUGAUGGAUCCAGGUUCAUACUAUAACAUGUAGAAUCAUUAUGAUGGAUCCAGGUUCAUACUAUAACAUGUAGAAUCAUUAUGAUGGAUCCAGGUUCAUACUAUAACAUGUAGAAUCAUUAUGAUGGAUCCAGGUUCAUACUAUAACAUGUAGAAUCAUUAUGAUGGAUCCAGGUUCAUACUAUAACAUGUAGAAUCAUUAUGAUGGAUCCAUUUUCAGCCUUUACCCAUUGCCCUUCAUUCUCUAGACUUCCAGGUAAUACAUAGAUCUCCACCAGGUGAAUCUCCUUGCUGGAUUCAUGUUGAAACAGCUAUGAACAGG